GGACGAACGCUGGCGGCGUGCUUAACACAUGCAAGUCGAGCGGUAAGGCCCUUUCGGGGGUACACGAGCGGCGAACGGGUGAGUAACACGUGGGUGACCUGCCCUCAGCUCUGGGAUAAGCCUGGGAAACCGGGUCUAAUACCGGAUAUGACUCCAUGACGCAUGUUGUGGGGUGGAAAGCCUUGUGCGGCUGAGGAUGGGCCCGCGGCCUAUCAGCUUGUUGGUGGGGUGAUGGCCUACCAAGGCGACGACGGGUAGCCGGCCUGA
This 267-nucleotide ribosomal RNA is filed under the name uncultured bacterium. Its description in RNAcentral is "partial 16S ribosomal RNA". It matches the Rfam family "Bacterial small subunit ribosomal RNA", at positions 27 to 295 of the family's 1533-position model. The record is from RNAcentral.